GAUGAACGCUGGCGGCGUGCCUAAUACAUGCAAGUCGAGCGAACGGACGAGAAGCUUGCUUUUCAGACGUUAGGGGCGGACGGGUGAGUAACACGUGGAUAACCUACCUAUAAGUCUGGGAUAACUUCGGGAAACCGGCGCUUAUACCGGAUAAUCUUUUGAACCGCAUGGUUCAAAAGUGAAAGACGGUCUUGCUGUCACUUAUAGAUGGAUCCGCGCUGCAUUAGCUAGUUGGUAAGGUAACGGGUUACCAAGGCAACGAUGGAUAGCCGACCGGAGAGGGUGAUCGCCCACACUGGAACGGGGACACGCUCAAGACGCCUACGGGAGGCAGCAGUAGGGAAUCUGCCGCAAUGGGCGGAAGCCUGACGGAGCAGCGCCGCGUGAGUGACGGAGGUCUUCGGAUCGUAAAACUCUGUUAUUAGGUAAGAACAUAUGUGGAAGUAACUGUGCACAUCUUGACGGUACCUAAUCAGAAAGCCACGGCUAACUACGUG
Molecule: ribosomal RNA, 497 nt
Filed under: uncultured bacterium
Lineage: Bacteria
Description: partial 16S ribosomal RNA
Rfam family: Bacterial small subunit ribosomal RNA
Source: RNAcentral